Molecule: ribosomal RNA, 679 nt
Filed under: Vibrio xiamenensis
Lineage: Bacteria; Pseudomonadati; Pseudomonadota; Gammaproteobacteria; Vibrionales; Vibrionaceae
Description: bacterial SSU rRNA
Rfam family: Bacterial small subunit ribosomal RNA
Source: RNAcentral
CAGAUACUGACACUCAGAUGCGAAAGCGUGGGGAGCAAACAGGAUUAGAUACCUGGUAGUCCACGCCGUAAACGAUGUCUACUUGGAGGUUGUGGCCCUGAGCCGUGGCUUUCGGAGCUAACGCGUUAAGUAGACCGCCUGGGGAGUACGGUCGCAAGAUUAAAACUCAAAUGAAUUGACGGGGGCCCGCACAAGCGGUGGAGCAUGUGGUUUAAUUCGAUGCAACGCGAAGAACCUUACCUACUCUUGACAUCCAGAGAACUUUCCAGAGAUGGAUUGGUGCCUUCGGGAACUCUGAGACAGGUGCUGCAUGGCUGUCGUCAGCUCGUGUUGUGAAAUGUUGGGUUAAGUCCCGCAACGAGCGCAACCCUUAUCCUUGUUUGCCAGCGAGUAAUGUCGGGAACUCCAGGGAGACUGCCGGUGAUAAACCGGAGGAAGGUGGGGACGACGUCAAGUCAUCAUGGCCCUUACGAGUAGGGCUACACACGUGCUACAAUGGCGCAUACAGAGGGCAGCCAACUUGCGAGAGUGAGCGAAUCCCAAAAAGUGCGUCGUAGUCCGGAUCGGAGUCUGCAACUCGACUCCAUGAAGUCGGAAUCGCUAGUAAUCGUGGAUCAGAAUGCCACGGUGAAUACGUUCCCGGGCCUUGUACACACCGCCCGUCACACCAUGGGAGUGG